GACGAACGCUGGCGGCGUGCCUAAUACAUGCAAGUUGAGCGCUGAAGGAUGGUACUUGUACCAACUGGAUGAGCAGCGAACGGGUGAGUAACGCGUGGGAAAUCUGCCUUUGAGCGGGGGACCACAUUUGGAAACGAAUGCUAAUACCGCAUAAAAACUUUAAACACAAGUUUUAAGUAUGAAAGAUGAAAUUGCAUCACUCAAAGAUGAUCCCGCGUUGUAUUAGCUAGUUGGUGAGGUAAAGGCUCACCAAGGCGAUGAUACAUAGCCGACCUGAGAGGGUGAUCGGCCACAUUGGGACUGAGACACGGCCCAGACUCCUACGGGAGGCAGCAGUAGGGAAUCUUCGGCAAUGGACGAAAGUCUGACCGAGCAACGCCGCGUGAGUGAAGAAGGUUUUCGGAUCGUAAAGCUCUGUUGUUAGAGAAGAACGUUUGUGAGAGUGGAAAGCUCAUCAAGUGACGGUAACUAACCAGAAAGGGACGGCUAACUACGUG
RNAcentral lists this ribosomal RNA (497 nucleotides) under uncultured bacterium. Its description in RNAcentral is "partial 16S ribosomal RNA". It matches the Rfam family "Bacterial small subunit ribosomal RNA", at positions 28 to 507 of the family's 1533-position model. The record is from RNAcentral.